This 65-nucleotide small nucleolar RNA is filed under the name Erinaceus europaeus (western European hedgehog). RNAcentral's name for it is "Small nucleolar RNA SNORD30 (ENSEEUG00000022511.1)". Lineage: Eukaryota; Metazoa; Chordata; Mammalia; Eulipotyphla; Erinaceidae. The record is from RNAcentral.
ACAUAUGAUGGCUUCCUUGGAAUCUUGACUGAUAUUUGGCUGCUGAGACUGGAAUUCCAAUAUGC